Molecule: small nuclear RNA, 107 nt
Organism: Cricetulus griseus (Chinese hamster)
Lineage: Eukaryota; Metazoa; Chordata; Mammalia; Rodentia; Cricetidae
Source: Ensembl
CGGCUCACUUUGGCAACACAUACAGUAAAAUUGGAAUGAUACAGAGAAGAUUUGCAUAGCCACUGUGCAAGGAUGGCAUACAGAUUCCUGAAGCAUUCCAUAGUCUU